Molecule: ribosomal RNA, 159 nt
Filed under: Triticum aestivum (bread wheat)
Lineage: Eukaryota; Viridiplantae; Streptophyta; Magnoliopsida; Poales; Poaceae
Description: partial small subunit ribosomal RNA
Source: RNAcentral
AUGGGUCAGCAGCUGGGCAGAGACAAGAUUGGAUCAAACCUAACAGCUGAUGACAUAGCGAGCGCCUUCUACUUCUCUCUCCUGCUCUCCCCUGUUGUCUCCUUCUGGGAUUGCAUCUUCCGCAAGAUAAGAUACUCCUUCAGACCUGAGUGGGUGUAG